RNAcentral lists this ribosomal RNA (500 nucleotides) under uncultured bacterium. RNAcentral's name for it is "partial 16S ribosomal RNA". It matches the Rfam family "Bacterial small subunit ribosomal RNA", at positions 28 to 523 of the family's 1533-position model. The record is from RNAcentral.
GAUGAACGCUAGCGGCAGGCUUAAUACAUGCAAGUCGAGGGGCAGCACAGGUAGCAAUACUGGGUGGCGACCGGCAAACGGGUGCGGAACACGUACACAACUUACCUUAGAGUGGGGGAUAGCCCAGGGAAACUUGGAUUAAUACCCCAUAAACCAGGGGGCCCGCAUGGGCAUAUUGUUAAAGAUUUAUCGCUUUAAGAUGGGUGUGCGUAUGAUUAGGUAGUUGGUAGGGUAAAGGCCUACCAAGCCGACGAUCAUUAACUGGUGUGAGAGCACGACCAGUCACACGGGCACUGAGACACGGGCCCGACUCCUACGGGAGGCAGCAGUAAGGAAUAUUGGUCAAUGGACGGAAGUCUGAACCAGCCAUGCCGCGUGAAGGAUGAAGGUCCUCUGGAUUGUAAACUUCUUUUAUAGGGGGCGAAAAAGGGCCUUUUUAGGUCAACUGACGGUACCCUAUGAAUAAGCACCGGCUAACUCCGUGCCAGCAGCCGCCGUAA